Rhamnusium bicolor is the source of this 74-nucleotide non-coding RNA. Lineage: Eukaryota; Metazoa; Arthropoda; Insecta; Coleoptera; Cerambycidae. The record is from the annotation of a GenBank genome assembly.
GGUUUUGUAGUCGAGUGGUAAGGACACUUGCUUCUUGCCCUAGAUCCCCGGGUUCGAUCCCCUGUCGAGGAUCU